This 394-nucleotide long non-coding RNA is filed under the name Setaria viridis. RNAcentral's name for it is "long non-coding RNA (SVIR_LNC006216)". Lineage: Eukaryota; Viridiplantae; Streptophyta; Magnoliopsida; Poales; Poaceae. The record is from RNAcentral.
GGUUGGUUAGAGUUGGUAUUUUUUUUGAGAUACAGUACCCUACUAGUAGUGCUUCGUUACAAUGCAUGAAAGACACUGAAUAUUAUUACACUGCCAAACUUAAAUGAAAGCAAACACAUAUGCAUCAAAUUAACAGGCGAACAUAACUAGCGGUGGUGGACUACUUCCGUCUGAUGCAUGGGCAUGGCCCUUUGGGGCUAAGACCACACACAUGCAAAGGCAAAAAGGAGCUGGUCACUGGUCAGGCCAGGGCCGUCGUGCCCGGCGGCGGCCUGGAUGCCGGUGUUGCACCUGAAGCAGUGGCCGCCGGACUGGAUGAUGGCGUGGGUGGUGGAGAGCGCGAGGAUGUCGGCGCAGGACACGGUGACGCCGCACUUCCUGUGCACGGUGUCGU